RNA transcript from Mandrillus leucophaeus (drill), 811 nucleotides. It is a transcript of the gene named 40S ribosomal protein S23 pseudogene, with no coding region annotated. NCBI's taxonomy places the organism in Eukaryota, Metazoa, Chordata, Mammalia, Primates, Cercopithecidae. The transcript is spliced from 3 exons. The record is from RefSeq and is a predicted model, not a curated record.
AUGUGGAGUGAAGAGUUCAGACAAUAUGGAGGAACCGGGCAUGAGAGAGAAAAUAGGAGGUUUAUCCAAUUACCCACACAGCGGGAGGGAGCCCUUUAUCACUUGUCUAUUGCUGAACAUACCAGUAUGGAGGAAGCCCAGCCAACCGAUGUCCUCAAUAGGCUCUCUCCUAGCAGAAAAGGGAUUUCUCUGGUUCACCUGGGAAAGUCACUGCUUGUAGGAGUUGACCGUGGUGAUACUGGCUCCAGUGACUUCUGUCAUAUUCUACAGUUCACUGUACCUCUAGGCAGUUUCUGGAGCACACUGGGAAAUGCCAGUGGCGCCGACAGGAUAGGCAAGUGUCGUGGACUUGGUACUGCUAGGAAGCUCCGUAGUCACCGACGAGACCAGAAGUGGCAUGAUAAACAGUACAAGAAAACCCAUUUGGGCACAGCCCUGAAGGCCUACCCUUUUGGAGGUGCUUCUCAUGCAAAAGGAAUCGUCCUGGAAAAGUAGGAGUUGAAGCCAAACAGCCAAAUUCUGCCAUUAGGAAGUGUAUCAGGGUCCAGCUGAUCAAGAAUGGCAAGAAAAUCACAGCCUUUGUACCCAACGACGGUUGCUUGAACUUUAUUGAGGAAAAUAAUGAAGUUUUGGAUGCUGGAUUUGGUCGCAAAGGUCAUACUGUUGGUGAUAUUCCUGGAGUCCGCUUUAAGGUUGUCAAAGUAGCCAAUGUGUCUCUUCUGGCCCUAUACAAAGGCAAGAAGGAAAGACCAAGAUCAUAAAUUUUAAUGGUGAAAACACUGUAGUAAUAAAUUUUCAUAUGCCAAAAAAA